GCCUUAACAUGCAGUCGAACGGUAACAGGUUAAGCUGACGAGUGGCGAACGGGUGAGUAAUAUAUCGGAACGUGCCCAGUUGUGGGGGAUAACUACUCGAAAGAGUAGCUAAUACCGCAUGAGACCUGAGGGUGAAAGCGGGGGAUCGCAAGACCUCGCGCAGUUGGAGCGGCCGAUAUCAGAUUAGCUAGUUGGCGGGGUAAAAGCCCACCAAGGCGACGAUCUGUAGCUGGUCUGAGAGGACGACCAGCCACACUGGGACUGAGACACGGCCCAAACUCCUACGGGAGGCAGCAGUGGGGAAUUUUGGACAAUGGACGAAAGUCUGAUCCAGCCAUGCCGCGUGUGGGAAGAAGGCCUUCGGGUUGUAAACCACUUUUGUCAGGGAAGAAACGGCUCGGGUUAAUACCUUGGGCUAAUGACGGUACCUGAAGAAUAAGCACCGGCUAACUACGUGCCAGCAGCCGCGGUAAUACGUAGGGUGCAAGCGUUAAUCGGAAUUACUGGGCGUAAAGCGUGCGCAGGCGGUUAUGCAAGACAGAUGUGAAAUCCCCGGGCUCAACCUGGGAACUGCAUUUGUGACUGCAUGGCUAGAGUACGGUAGAGGGGGAUGGAAUUCCGCGUGUAGCAGUGAAAUGCGUAGAUAUGCGGAGGAACACCGAUGGCGAAGGCAAUCCCCUGGACCUGUACUGACGCUCAUGCACGAAAGCGUGGGGAGCA
Molecule: ribosomal RNA, 720 nt
Filed under: uncultured bacterium
Lineage: Bacteria
Description: bacterial SSU rRNA
Rfam family: Bacterial small subunit ribosomal RNA
Source: RNAcentral